AUACAUGCAAGUCGAACGCGUCUCCGUUAAUGAUUUUAGGUGCUUGCACUUGAAAGAUUUAACAUUGAGACGAGUGGCGAACUGGUGAGUAACACGUGGGUAACCUGCCCUUGAAGUAGGGGAUAACACUUGGAAACAGGUGCUAAUACCGUAUAACAACCAAAACCACCUGGUUUUGGUUUAAAAGACGGCUUCGGCUGUCACUUUAGGAUGGACCCGCGGCGUAUUAGCUUGUUGGUAAGGUAACGGCCUACCAAGGCGAUGAUACGUAGCCGACCUGAGAGGGUAAUCGGCCACAUUGGGACUGAGACACGGCCCAAACUCCUACGGGAGGCAGCAGUAGGGAAUCUUCCACAAUGGACGAAAGUCUGAUGGAGCAACGCCGCGUGAGUGAUGAAGGGUUUCGGCUCGUAAAACUCUGUUGUUGGAGAAGAACAGGUGUCAGAGUAACUGUUGACAUCUUGACGGUAUCCAACCAGAAAGCCACGGCUAACUACGUGCCAGCAGCCGCGGUAAUACGUAGGUGGCAAGCGUUGUCCGGAUUUAUUGGGCGUAAAGCGAGCGCAGGCGGUUUUUUAGGUCUGAUGUGAAAGCCUUCGGCUUAACCGGAGAAGUGCAUCGGAAACCGGGAGACUUGAGUGCAGAAGAGGACAGUGGAACUCCAUGUGUAGCGGUGAAAUGCGUAGAUAUAUGGAAGAACACCAGUGGCGAAGGCGGCUGUCUGGUCUGUAACUGACGCUGAGGCU
Molecule: ribosomal RNA, 746 nt
Filed under: Lentilactobacillus buchneri
Lineage: Bacteria; Bacillati; Bacillota; Bacilli; Lactobacillales; Lactobacillaceae
Description: bacterial SSU rRNA
Rfam family: Bacterial small subunit ribosomal RNA
Source: RNAcentral